AAGAUCGUACUUCACAGGAUCAUUUCUGUAGUCGAUCUAACGUAUCCGCUUGCCGGAUUCGUGCACCCUGAAACCGCGAUGAUGCGACGAGGGUGUCGACCUGAGCGUGAAUCUGGUCUGGGUUUCUUUCGCAAUGGGAGAGACCCAUUCCUUGAUGAUCGUUCGCUCUUGGAGUCUUCCGAGAGAGAUGGCCGGCACUCAGUCUGAGUGGU
Molecule: small nucleolar RNA, 212 nt
Organism: Tropilaelaps mercedesae
Lineage: Eukaryota; Metazoa; Arthropoda; Arachnida; Mesostigmata; Laelapidae
Rfam family: Small nucleolar RNA U3
About the family: Small nucleolar RNAs (snoRNAs) are involved in the processing and modification of rRNA in the nucleolus. There are two main classes of snoRNAs: the box C/D class, and the box H/ACA class.
Source: Rfam